This 42-nucleotide small RNA is filed under the name Plasmodium falciparum 3D7. Its description in RNAcentral is "Pfa-starR7381". The record is from RNAcentral. Lineage: Eukaryota; Apicomplexa; Aconoidasida; Haemosporida; Plasmodiidae.
CCUAUCUUAACUAACAUAGGUCCUAUCUUAACUAACAUAGGU